This 72-nucleotide transfer RNA is filed under the name Ovis aries (sheep). It matches the Rfam family "tRNA". From Rfam's summary of the family: Transfer RNA (tRNA) molecules are approximately 80 nucleotides in length. Their secondary structure includes four short double-helical elements and three loops (D, anti-codon, and T loops). Lineage: Eukaryota; Metazoa; Chordata; Mammalia; Artiodactyla; Bovidae. The record is from Rfam by way of RNAcentral.
UCCCUGGUGGCUCAGACGGUAAAGCGUCUGCCUGCAAUGCGGGAGACCGGGGUUCGAUUCCUGGGUCGGGAA